Molecule: small RNA, 590 nt
Filed under: Pongo abelii (Sumatran orangutan)
Lineage: Eukaryota; Metazoa; Chordata; Mammalia; Primates; Hominidae
Description: processed transcript
Source: RNAcentral
CUUGGAUUCCUCUGUCCAGCUUUUAACAAUCUAAGUUACGCCCUUUUCUGGGUCACGCUAGAAUCAGAUCUGCUCUCCAGCAUCUUCUGUUUCCUGGCAAGUGUUUCCUGCUACUUUGGAUUGGCCAUGAUGGGCUGGAGCUGCCUUGUGACAGGAGCAGGAGGGCUUCUGGGUCAGAGGAUCGUCCGCCUGUUGGUGGAAGAGAAGGAACUGAAGGAGAUCAGGGCCUUGGACAAGGCCUUCAGACCAGAAUUGAGAGAGGAAUUUUCUAAUCCCUGGGAACUCACUGGGGAAGAGUCAUUUUCCAUCAGCUUUCAACUUCUGCUAUGAAAUGGCAAUUCCUUUGAGCCAGUCUGUCUAAAGUCGGCAGCAAAGGAGAAGCAAAUGAAGGGAGUAGAAAAGAGCUCCAGAACAAGACCAAGCUGACUGUACUGGAAGGAGACAUUCUGGAUGAGCCAUUCCUGAAGAGAGCCUGUCAGGAUGUCUCGGUCGUCAUCCACACCGCCUGUAUUAUUGAUGUCUUUGGUGUCACUCACAGAGAGUCCAUCAUGAAUGUCAAUGUGAAAGGUACAGUAGCCUGGGGAGGAGAC